Molecule: ribosomal RNA, 292 nt
Filed under: uncultured bacterium
Lineage: Bacteria
Description: partial 16S ribosomal RNA
Rfam family: Bacterial small subunit ribosomal RNA
Source: RNAcentral
GUGCCAGCCGCCGCGGUAAGACGUAGGGAGCGAGCGUUGUCCGGAUUCAUUGGGCGUAAAGAGCGCGCAGGCGGUUUGGUAAGUCGGAUGUGAAAUCCCGGAGCUCAACUCCGGACCUGCAUCCGAAACUGCCCGACUAGAGGUAGGUAGGGGAGAUCGGAAUUCCUGGUGUAGCGGUGAAAUGCGCAGAUAUCAGGAGGAACACCGGUGGCGAAGGCGGAUCUCUGGGCCUUACCUGACGCUCAGGCGCGAAAGCUAGGGGAGCGAACAGGAUUAGAAACCCCAGUAGUCC